RNAcentral lists this ribosomal RNA (253 nucleotides) under uncultured bacterium. RNAcentral's name for it is "partial 16S ribosomal RNA". It matches the Rfam family "Bacterial small subunit ribosomal RNA", at positions 524 to 776 of the family's 1533-position model. The record is from RNAcentral.
UACGGAGGGUGCAAGCGUUAAUCGGAAUUACUGGGCGUAAAGCGUGCGCAGGCGGUUAUAUAAGUCAGCUGUGAAAUCCCCGGGCUCAACCUGGGAACUGCAGUUGAGACUGUUUGGCUAGAGUAUGUCAGAGGGGGGUAGAAUUCCACGUGUAGCAGUGAAAUGCGUAGAUAUGCGGAGGAACACCGAUGGCGAAGGCAAUCCCCUGGACCUGUACUGACGCUGAUGCACGAAAGCGUGGGGAGCAAACAGG